GUUACCUGAAGGGAUGGAGCCAGGAUCCACCCCUUCCUAGACCUCAUUUAAGGGUUUGACAGGGGAGGCAAGGGUAUCUUGCUGGGGAUUCCUGUCUUCUGAAGAUGGCAUUGAGCAUUUAUGAAAGAAUGUUGCUCAUCAUUACUUGCUGAAUGUGUGACAGAGCUGGAGGGAGGAAGAACAACUGAGAUCUGAUUCUUACCCCUAGGCCUGUUCCUCUGAGCCUGCCCCUCCCAGGGUGCUGCUGAUCAGAAGUUGGAUUUGGGGCUGUUUUUCAAAAGUGUGCUGUCACCCUAACUAACCAUUACAGGGAGAAAGCGAUUCCAAAUUGCUUCUGCUGAUGGAAAUGAUAGGACAGAAGAAAGGGUGAAAUUAGUGGGUACAACUAUUGACUCACCACACUUUCCUUUGUACGUUCAAGACAGGGGUUUGCUAUUGGCAAUCCUUUGGUCGGGAGCCAAAAUAAGCACAGAUUGUCAUAUUACUGUGAAGAUAC
This 496-nucleotide long non-coding RNA is filed under the name Gallus gallus (chicken). Its description in RNAcentral is "lncRNA (ENSGALG00010024055.1)". The record is from RNAcentral. Lineage: Eukaryota; Metazoa; Chordata; Aves; Galliformes; Phasianidae.